This 1381-nucleotide ribosomal RNA is filed under the name Leifsonia sp. JC2485. Its description in RNAcentral is "bacterial SSU rRNA". It matches the Rfam family "Bacterial small subunit ribosomal RNA". Lineage: Bacteria; Bacillati; Actinomycetota; Actinomycetes; Micrococcales; Microbacteriaceae. The record is from RNAcentral.
CUUAACACAUGCAAGUCGAACGAUGAAGCAGAGCUUGCUCUGUGGAUUAGUGGCGAACGGGUGAGUAACACGUGAGUAACCUGCCCUUGACUCUGGGAUAAGCGUUGGAAACGACGUCUAAUACCGGAUACGACCCUCGGAGGCAUCUCCUGGGGGUGGAAAGAAUUUCGGUCAAGGAUGGACUCGCGGCCUAUCAGGUAGUUGGUGAGGUAAAGGCUCACCAAGCCGACGACGGGUAGCCGGCCUGAGAGGGUGACCGGCCACACUGGGACUGAGACACGGCCCAGACUCCUACGGGAGGCAGCAGUGGGGAAUAUUGCACAAUGGGCGAAAGCCUGAUGCAGCAACGCCGCGUGAGGGACGAAGGCCUUCGGGUUGUAAACCUCUUUUAGUAGGGAAGAAGCGAAAGUGACGGUACCUGCAGAAAAAGCACCGGCUAACUACGUGCCAGCAGCCGCGGUAAUACGUAGGGUGCAAGCGUUGUCCGGAAUUAUUGGGCGUAAAGAGCUCGUAGGCGGUUUGUCACGUCUGCUGUGAAAACUGGAGGCUCAACCUCCAGCCUGCAGUGGGUACGGGCAGACUAGAGUGCGGUAGGGGAGAUUGGAAUUCCUGGUGUAGCGGUGGAAUGCGCAGAUAUCAGGAGGAACACCGAUGGCGAAGGCAGAUCUCUGGGCCGCUACUGACGCUGAGGAGCGAAAGCAUGGGGAGCGAACAGGAUUAGAUACCCUGGUAGUCCAUGCCGUAAACGUUGGGAACUAGAUGUGGGGACCAUUCCACGGUCUCCGUGUCGCAGCUAACGCAUUAAGUUCCCCGCCUGGGGAGUACGGCCGCAAGGCUAAAACUCAAAGGAAUUGACGGGGGCCCGCACAAGCGGCGGAGCAUGCGGAUUAAUUCGAUGCAACGCGAAGAACCUUACCAAGACUUGACAUAUACGAGAACGCUGCAGAAAUGUAGAACUCUUUGGACACUCGUAAACAGGUGGUGCAUGGUUGUCGUCAGCUCGUGUCGUGAGAUGUUGGGUUAAGUCCCGCAACGAGCGCAACCCUCGUCCUAUGUUGCCAGCACGUAAUGGUGGGAACUCAUGGGAUACUGCCGGGGUCAACUCGGAGGAAGGUGGGGAUGACGUCAAAUCAUCAUGCCCCUUAUGUCUUGGGCUUCACGCAUGCUACAAUGGCCGGUACAAUGGGCUGCAAUACCGUAAGGUGGAGCGAAUCCCAAAAAGCCGGUCUCAGUUCGGAUUGAGGUCUGCAACUCGACCUCAUGAAGUCGGAGUCGCUAGUAAUCGCAGAUCAGCAACGCUGCGGUGAAUACGUUCCCGGGCCUUGUACAGCACCGCCCGUCAAGUCAUGAAAGUCGGUAACACCCAACGCCGGUGGCCUAA